This 497-nucleotide ribosomal RNA is filed under the name uncultured bacterium. RNAcentral's name for it is "partial 16S ribosomal RNA". It matches the Rfam family "Bacterial small subunit ribosomal RNA", at positions 28 to 507 of the family's 1533-position model. The record is from RNAcentral.
GAUGAACGCUGGCGGCGUGCCUAAUACAUGCAAGUCGAGCGAACGGACGAUAAGCUCGUGCCUCUGAUGUUAGCGGCGGACGGGCGAGUAACACGUGGAUAACCUACCUAUAUUACUGGGAUAACUUCGGGAAACAGGUUCUACUACCGGAUAAUAUUUUGUACCGCAUGGUUCAAGAGUGAAAGACGGUCUUGCCGUCACUAAUAGAUGGAUCCGCGCUGCAUUAGCUAGUUGGUAAGGUAACGGCUUACCAAGGCAACGAUGCAUAGCCGAUCUGAGAGGGUGAUCGGCCACACUGGAACUGAGACACGGUCCAGACUCCUACGGGAGGCAGCAGUAGGGAAUCUUCCGCAAUGGGCGAAAGCCUGACGGAGCAACGCCGCGUGAGUGAUGAAGGUCUUCGGAUCGUAAAACUCUGUUAUUGGGGAAGAACAUAUGUGUAAGUAACUGUGCACAUCUUGACGGUACCUAAUCAGAAAGCCACGGCUAACUACGUG